AACGAACGCUGGCGGCAGGCUUAACACAUGCAAGUCGAACGCCCCGCAAGGGGAGUGGCAGACGGGUGAGUAACGCGUGGGAAUCUACCCAUCCCUACGGAACAACUCCGGGAAACUGGAGCUAAUACCGUAUACGCCCUACGGGGGAAAGAUUUAUCGGGGAUGGAUGAGCCCGCGUUGGAUUAGCUAGUUGGUGGGGUAAAGGCCUACCAAGGCGACGAUCCAUAGCUGGUCUGAGAGGAUGAUCAGCCACAUUGGGACUGAGACACGGCCCAAACUCCUACGGGAGGCAGCAGUGGGGAAUAUUGGACAAUGGGCGCAAGCCUGAUCCAGCCAUGCCGCGUGAGUGAUGAAGGUCUUAGGAUUGUAAAGCUCUUUCACCGAUGAAGAUAAUGACGGUAGUCGGAGAAGAAGCCCCGGCUAACUUCGUGCCAGCCGCCGCAGUAA
This 447-nucleotide ribosomal RNA is filed under the name uncultured bacterium. RNAcentral describes it as "partial 16S ribosomal RNA". It matches the Rfam family "Bacterial small subunit ribosomal RNA", at positions 29 to 523 of the family's 1533-position model. The record is from RNAcentral.